This 494-nucleotide ribosomal RNA is filed under the name uncultured bacterium. Its description in RNAcentral is "partial 16S ribosomal RNA". It matches the Rfam family "Bacterial small subunit ribosomal RNA", at positions 28 to 507 of the family's 1533-position model. The record is from RNAcentral.
GACGAACGCUGGCGGCGUGCUUAACACAUGCAAGUCGAACGGAAAGGCCUGCUUUCCCUUGUGGAUUGCGGGUACUCGAGUGGCGAACGGGUGAGUAACACGUGAGUGAUCUGCCCCCAACUUGGGUAUAAGCCUGGGAAACUGGGUCUAAUUCCCGAUAGGACUGCAGGGUGGUGCCUGUGUUGGAAAACGAUUUUCUAGUGGUUGGGGAUGAGCUCGCGGCCUAUCAGCUUGUUGGUGGGGUAAUGGCCUACCAAGGCGGCGACGGGUAGCCGGCGUGUGAGGGGGGACAGCCACAUUGGGACUGGGAUACGGCCCAGACGCGUACGGGAGGCAGCAGUUGUGAAUAUUGGACAAUGAGCGGAAGCCUGAUGCAGCGACGCCGCGUGGAGGAUGACGGCCUUCGGGUUGUAAACUCCUUUCGACCGCGAGGAAGCCACCUGGUUGGAAGGGUGGUGACGGUAGUGGUAGAAGAAGCACCGGCUAACUACGUG